CCAUAGUUUUCAACAAUUGUGAUGCCAUUCUUUACCAGGGAGUAUCCAGACAUCAACUAAAAUAUUAAACAAUAUUUUUUUAGUUUAUUAUCACAAUGUGGAAAAUCAAAGAGGGAUGGUUGGACUUCAGUGACACCAAUUACUACACCCCCUGACCAGUUAUUUGCCUUCUUAUCUAUCUUUAUUUCAAAGAGGACAUCAUUUGGAAUUGGUUCUGCAGUGAUGACAACACCAUGAUCAAAAUUGCUCUCAUAAUUUGUUCUCACUGCAGUACAAUUCUCAUUCUGCAGUGUCACGCGAUCUCCGCAGCGAAAAUGAAAAUUAUGGUGCCGGUGGAAAUGGUUUGUGGUCCUGUAUUGGAUAGAAUUUUAUUGAAAAUCUAACAAGCCGUAACAAGAAAACAUCUUCAGGAUUCUUCACAACGAGUCCUCGGGGCUCUGCAAAAUUUUCUAUUAAUUAUUAGUAAUGGUUUAACGCGCCGUCAUCGAUUUAUGAAAGGCAGCACUGAAGAUGAUCCCACCGAACUUGCGAAAUUAAUUAAUUACUGCCUAUGAAGAAUGUGGAAAAAGAGAGUACUUCUUGACCUGACCUUUCAGAGAUGUGAAACCAGCUCCCAAAUCUACGCAUUUGUGCAGGACUCGACAAGACUGAAAAAAAAACUGAUGAAUUGUUACUUGCGCUUUUAAGAAUAUUUGUUUUAUUCUUAAAAGCGCAAAUGUAAAUUUAAUACACUUGAGAAAUGGUGUCGCAAGACUAGCGUUCCAAGUUUAAUUUGCUUGAAAAAAACAGCGCAAAAUUAAUGUGGUAAAUUUGAUGCGACAAAUUUAUCGUGGUUGAGAAAAAACGGCACAAGACUUAUCUUGUAAAUUUAAUUUGGUUGAGAGAAAUUGCGGAAGAUAGGUAAUUGUCAAAACAUAAAAAGAAUAUCAGCCCAAGACUUGUCUUCUAAAUUUACUUUAUUUGAUAUAUUAUUAUACAGCUAAGUUUUCUGCUUUAAAUUUAAUUCAGUUGAGGAACAUAGAGCAUUAACGUAAAGUACGUCAAACAAUAACUGCGCUUUAUAUUUAUAUAAUAGGGUCCAGAAACAUGUACCGAUUUGUAUGAUUAUUAUAAAGUGGGGUAUAAUGUUUGUGCUAAAUAAGCACGUUAUAUUUUUCUUGAUGAACUGUGUGAGACUGUUUUAAUGUGCAGAUGCAGUGUAUUGUUAUUGCUUAGAAGUGUAUACGUGUGUCGAGUGUUAUCCGUGUAGAAUUUUACAAUAAAUCAAUUUCCACUUGA
This is a long non-coding RNA of Dalotia coriaria, 1278 nucleotides long. RefSeq lists it as uncharacterized. The transcript is spliced from 4 exons. Lineage: Eukaryota; Metazoa; Arthropoda; Insecta; Coleoptera; Staphylinidae. The record is from RefSeq and is a predicted model, not a curated record.